UUAGGGGGCAAAUUAAUAAAAAAUAAAUAAUAAAAAAAAUUUUAGUAUAAAAAAAAUAUUUAAUGGGGGUUAAAGUAUUUUUAAUAGAAAAAAUUUUUAAAUUUAUAGUGUAAUAGUAUUGUAAAAGAAAUUUGAAAUAAAAUGAAAAAAAAAUUUUUAAAAAAGUAAAUUUAAUUUAUUGUAUCUUGUGUAUCAGAGUUUAUUAAUAAAUGUUUUUAUUUAAAAAUUUCUCGAAUUUAAAAGAGUUAAUUAAUUAUUAAAGUUAAUAUUACAUAAUUAUUUUAAAAAAUUAAUUAGAAAUGAAAUGUUAAUCGUUUUUAAAAAUAUCUAGUUUUUUUAGAAAAAAAUUUAAUUUUAAAUAAUAAUUUAUAAUUUUUUUUUUUAAAAAAAAAUUAUAAAUUAUUAUUAAAUAUUUUAGGGGAUAAGCUUUAAAAUAAAUUUUUAUAAAUAUAAAUUUUUAAUUAAUAAAAUUUUAGAAUUUUUAUUGUUAAUAAAUUAUAAUUUUUUAUAAAUAAUUUAUUAAUAUAAUAAUUAAAAUUUAAUUUUUUUAUUUUAAUUUUUUAUAAAAAAAUUAUUUUUAAUAAGAAAAAUUUAGAUAUAAUGAUAAAAUUAGUAUAUGAUUUAUUUUAUUAAAAAUAAAAUAUUAAAAUAAUUUUAAAAAAGGAAUUCGGCAAAUAUUUAUAUUCACUUGUUUAUCAAAAACAUGUCUUUUUGUUUAUAAUUUAAAGUCUAAUCUGCCCACUGAUAAAAAAUAUUGAAGGGCUGCAGUAUUUUGACUGUACAAAGGUAGCAUAAUCAUUAGUCUCUUAAUUGGUGACUUGUAUGAAGGAUUUAAUGAAAUAUAUACUGUCUCUUUUAAAUUUAUAGAAUUUAAUUUUUUAGUUAAAAAGCUAAAAUUUGUUUAAAAGACGAGAAGACCCUAUAGAGUUUAAUAUUUUUAUUAAUUUUUAUUUUUUAUAAAAUUGUUAUUAUAAAAAUUAAUUAAAUUAUUUUGUUGGGGUGAUAGAAAAAUUAAAUUAACUUUUUUUAUAAUUUUAACAUUAAUUUAUGAUUAAAUGAUCCGUAAUUUACGAUUAUAAGAUAAAAUUACCUUAGGGAUAACAGCGUAAUUUUUUUUUUUAGUUCAUAUAAGAAAAAAAGUUUGCGACCUCGAUGUUGGAUUAAGAUAAAAUUUAAAUGCAAAAGUUUAAAAUUUUGAUCUGUUCGAUCAUUAAAAUCUUACAUGAUCUGAGUUCAAACCGGUGUGAGCCAGGUUGGUUUCUAUCUUUAAUUUUAUUAAAUAUUUUAGUACGAAAGGAAUAAAUAUUUAAAAUAAUUUUGUUAAAAAGAAUUUUAUUAAUUUAUUAUAGAA
RNAcentral lists this ribosomal RNA (1351 nucleotides) under Luehdorfia japonica. Its description in RNAcentral is "16S ribosomal RNA". The stretch from base 1097 to 1255 matches the Rfam family "Eukaryotic large subunit ribosomal RNA", at positions 2825 to 2984 of the family's 3401-position model. The record is from RNAcentral. Lineage: Eukaryota; Metazoa; Arthropoda; Insecta; Lepidoptera; Papilionidae.